UACGUAGGGUGCAAGCGUUGUUCGGAAUUAUUGGGCGUAAAGCGCGUGUAGGUGGUUAGGAAAGUUGGAUGUGAAAUCCCUGGGCCCAACUCAGGAAGUGCAUCCAAAACUACCUAGCUAGAGGGCGAGAGAGGGAGGUGGAAUUCCUAGUGUAGAGGUGAAAUUCGUAGAUAUUAGGAGGAAUACCGGUGGCGAAGGCGGCCUCCUGGUUCGUUCCUGACACUGAGACGCGUAAGCGUGGGGAG
RNAcentral lists this ribosomal RNA (245 nucleotides) under uncultured bacterium. RNAcentral's name for it is "partial 16S ribosomal RNA". It matches the Rfam family "Bacterial small subunit ribosomal RNA", at positions 524 to 768 of the family's 1533-position model. The record is from RNAcentral.